This 464-nucleotide ribosomal RNA is filed under the name uncultured bacterium. RNAcentral describes it as "SSU rRNA". It matches the Rfam family "Bacterial small subunit ribosomal RNA", at positions 26 to 518 of the family's 1533-position model. The record is from RNAcentral.
AGGACUAACGCUGGCGGCGUGCCUAACACAUGCAAGUCGAACGAAGUAGCAAUACUUAGUGGCAGACGGGUGAGUAACACGUAGUCAACCUGCCCUUCAAUGGGGGAUAACUAGCCGAAAGGUUAGCUAAUACCGCAUACGAUCUCUGAGUGGCAUCACUCGGCGAUGAAAGGAGUAAUCCGUUGAAGGAGGGGACUGCGUCCCAUUAGUUAGUUGGUGGGGUAAUGGCCUACCAAGACUCCGAUGGGUAGCUGGCUUGAGAGAGCGACCAGCCACACUGGAACUGAGACACGGUCCAGACUCCUACGGGAGGCAGCAGUGAGGAAUUUUCCGCAAUGGGGGAAACCCUGACGGAGCGACGCCGCGUGUGGGAAGAAGGCCUUCGGGUCGUAAACCACUGUCGAGGGGGACGAUAUUGACGGUACCCCUGGAGGAGCCCCGGCUAACUACGUGCCAGCAGCCGC